RNAcentral lists this ribosomal RNA (517 nucleotides) under uncultured bacterium. RNAcentral describes it as "bacterial SSU rRNA". It matches the Rfam family "Bacterial small subunit ribosomal RNA", at positions 382 to 916 of the family's 1533-position model. The record is from RNAcentral.
CCUGACGCAGCAACGCCGCGUGGAGGAUGACGCAUUUCGGUGUGUAAACUCCUUUUAUAUGUCAAGAAAAUGACGGUAGCAUAUGAAUAAGCACCGGCUAACUCCGUGCCAGCAGCCGCGGUAAUACGGAGGGUGCAAGCGUUACUCGGAAUCACUGGGCGUAAAGGACGCGUAGGCGGGAUGGUGAGUCUGAUGUGAAAUCCUACAGCUUAACUGUAGAACUGCAUUGGAAACUACUAACCUAGAGUAUGGGAGGGGGAGAUGGAAUUAGUGGUGUAGGGGUAAAAUCCGUAGAUAUCACUAGGAAUACCUAAAGCGAAGGCGAUCUCCUGGAACAAUACUGACGCUAAGGCGUGAAAGCGUGGGGAGCAAACGGGAUUAGAUACCCCGGUAGUCCACGCCCUAAACGAUGAACACUAGUCGUCGGGAUGCUUGUCAUCUCGGUGAUGCACUUAACAGAUUAAGUGUUCCGCCUGGGGAGUACGGUCGCAAGAUUAAAACUCAAAGGAAUUGACGG